GCCACAAUUUUGAUUGUUUUUUUUUUUUUUUUUUUUGAAAGAAGCUGCAGUUAUGUUGCAUUCUACGCUCAGCUGGAAAGGAAUCAACUUACAUAAAUUACUCAUAUUUUUAAUGCUUAUACUUUGUAUAUAUAAUCACAUAAAUAUACAUUUCAAAUGAGUUUGUUCUUCCAUAAUAAGAUACAAAAUACACACAGCAUAAGUUACCAAUGAAUCUUCGAGAACAAAUUAAGACACAUGAAGC
This 244-nucleotide long non-coding RNA is filed under the name Carica papaya (papaya). Its description in RNAcentral is "long non-coding RNA (CPAP_LNC001176)". The record is from RNAcentral. Lineage: Eukaryota; Viridiplantae; Streptophyta; Magnoliopsida; Brassicales; Caricaceae.